GAAGGCAUAACAGAACCACCACGAGCAGACACUAAAUUACAAAGUCUACCUCCCCUUCUGCUCCUGAUGAGGUCAUGUGGAAGGUAUCAACUAUGGGAACUCUCCUAGGUUAGGGUUUGAUGAAGACAUAGUGAAGAAGGGAGAUACGAUGAGGAAGUAAAUAGGGAUUUGAGAAAUUGAAUAUUCGGUAAACUUUAAGUGGUAAAGACAAAGAAAGAAGUUAUAUUUAUAUUGAUAAGCAAUCGCCGAAGGAAAAAGUGUAAUGAUGGAAGUACCAUAAUAAUGAUAACUGAUGUUUCGUGAAUAGUGGAGCUGUAAAAAAAGCCUUAAAAAAAGUUGCAAAACUACAGAGUUAAUGAAAAGGCGACAUGCAUGAAGAGUAUUAAAUGGAGGUGACAAUUGAAGCAUCAAUUUUGUCAUAGCAUUACUGGUGAUGAAAAUUCUCGUUUAAUGAAAUCCACUUCCUAAAAAAUUUAACUGAUGAAUAAAUGGCAAGUGGAGGGACUAUCUGUAUUGGGAGAAAUUGAGUUUACAUAUAAAGAUGACGUGUCAAGACAUGUAGAAUGGUCAAAGAGUUACAACUAGCAAAGAGGCACGAAUAGCAACAAAUACGAGCAAGGGCAAAGGAAGAGGUACGAGCAGUUAUUCAAAAGACUCAUCACCCAUACCUAUUCAAGUCAUUUAGAUCCGCGAAUCAAGGAGAAUUAAUC
This 710-nucleotide long non-coding RNA is filed under the name Nicotiana benthamiana. Its description in RNAcentral is "long non-coding RNA (NBEN_LNC031033)". Lineage: Eukaryota; Viridiplantae; Streptophyta; Magnoliopsida; Solanales; Solanaceae. The record is from RNAcentral.